GCCGGUUUUAAAGUGGCGGACAGGACCCAUUUCAAAAUGGUUCAAACUUGCCGUAGAUCCCCUUUUCCAUUUUGCCUGCGAAUUUCUUUUUCCCUUUGCCUACGAUUUCUCUCAGCCAUACCCAUAUUUUCUUGCCAAGAGGUUGAACUAUCCAACGAAGUGUUGACUUCUUUGCUGAUUUGUUACAAAAACCGGGGCAUUUUGUUACAGAAAUCGGGGGCAUUGCUUCGCUGAUUUCUCUCGAUUUCUUUUUGUCACGGCAUUUCUUGAACUACCCAAUAGAGGGGUUAAUUUUGGAAGCAAACAAGAAGUUAAAAUCUGGUUCGAUUCGAAGAGAUGACGGGCAAAGGUAUUCCCCUUCCUCAUUUUAGUUUGAUACUGGUGGGUGGAAACAUGAGCAUGAUGAAUUAGCUUGAUUCAUUAUUGUACAUUGCAAGUUCAAUUUUUCCUGACAAGCGAACUUCCUUGAGUGCUGUAAAAUAGGUUAUUUUUGUUGUACAUAGCAAGUUCAAUUAUUGUACACAGCACUUAUGAUGAAUUAGAAAAUCUUUUGAGGCCAUGAUCAUAUCUAUUAAAUAGUUG
Molecule: long non-coding RNA, 582 nt
Filed under: Olea europaea subsp. europaea
Lineage: Eukaryota; Viridiplantae; Streptophyta; Magnoliopsida; Lamiales; Oleaceae
Source: RNAcentral